Long non-coding RNA from Mus musculus (house mouse), 11108 nucleotides. RefSeq annotates it as predicted gene, 51492. Lineage: Eukaryota; Metazoa; Chordata; Mammalia; Rodentia; Muridae. The record is from RefSeq and is a predicted model, not a curated record. The transcript has 3 exons.
AUAUCUAUAUUAAUAUUUGGACUAUGAUGUUUGAAAUAUUAGCUUAGAGCUUAGUCAUGUUGUUAUAAAAUACAUACACAUAUAAGAUAUUCUGCAUUUGAGCUAAUAUUAUCCAUCACACGGCCAUUUCCACCAAGUUCUAUUGUGACUCCCAAAGCUGGGUGAGAGGCCAUGUCUUAUGGCUCUCAGAAAUUCCCAUGGCCAAGCUUGUAGAUGAAUUCCAGGAAACCAUUCCCUACAGUGCAAAAGCCUCUCUCUUCCAAAGCCUCCUUCAGCUUGGACAACAGCAAAGGGCUCAGAUACUCCCCAUGCCAGCAGCUACAGACUGGGAAAAAACAGUUUACCAUCUUUGUUCUCAUAAUGACCUUUCAGUAGAGGAAAUAUUAAAUGCUCAUGCUGUCCACUUUUAAGAUGUUAAGGAUGACACGUACUCAAAGACACAAGCCUGACAGACAGCAUUGGAAGGUCAGAGCACCUGAGAGCAGGAGCCCAGGGCCUUCACUCAGUCUCUGGAGAGCCUAAGAGAUGUACCCGAAGCUAGCCCUGACUGCCAGCAUCUGAACGGAUGCGGGACUCCUGUCCCACUGGUCACCUCACCCUUGCAAUGAUUCAAGUCAGACCUGCUACUGAAAGUUACAGGAAAGUAUGUGGAGGGAGGAAGACGUGGGGGUGGGAGAGAGGACAAACCUGCUGACUGAAUCAACUCCACCCCCGGGACUCUGUGAAAUUUUAAUUUCCUCUUCGGAAACUUAGGUCAAUAAAUGUAUAUACUCCUAUUGCAAAGUGUGUCUUUUCUUUUAAGAACGUGUGAGCCCUGCCUUUCCCUCUUGAGCACGUGUUUAUUUUCCAAUGUGAUCCCUGGAGAUUGGCACCCACAAGAGGAAGGACUUGGAUGGACUAUUGCUGAGCAGCCUGCAAAGGGUCAAGAAGUUUAUAAAGUCUCUUUUAUGCCUUGCGAAAGGUGGACUGUCUUAACGCAAGGCACUGGAGAGAUUUACUUUGCCUGCUCUGACAGGCCCCCCUCACUCUUCUCUACACAGUGAAGUGGAUCUCAGCCUGGGGCCUGUGAACCCUUAGCUGUCACAAUAUUAAUUAGGACCUUCAGAAAUCUCAGUGGAGAAAAAAAAAGAAAGCUUCACAAACAGAUGCCACCGAAUAACAGGUAUCUGAGGCUGUGACAGAGAUGCCUGAGCCAGGGCUGGGGUGUGGACUCUUCAAAAUGCCCGCCUGUCCUUGAUUCUAUAUUAAAGCCGUCCCCAAGAACACCAGCACUGCUAAAGUAUACAGACAGUGAAAAGGUAAAUACAGCCUGCCCUAGAUUUUACUGUAGAGUAAGUGACAGAUCAGAGCCUCACAUAAGAUCCCAGGGGUGAGGAAGGUUUGGCGGGGACACAGGUCUCAAGUGCCACACUGUUUUCUGAGAACUGCCCAGGCACAGAGUUCAUCUCAAGGACUUUCCUUGGCUUCCUUUCCUCUUUCGGGACAAAGGGGCAGCUUGAGCUGGUGAGGCCUCAUGACCCUGUGCACAGGGGCUUGCUUGGACAGACGCUCGUUUCUCCUGGCCUCUGUCUGUACUCCCUCAUUCUGUGGCGAGUCCCCUCCUCCAAGCUGGCUCACUUCCUUCGCUCCCUCAACUACCUAGCAAUGACAUUAUCAGGGGCUCCAUCGCAGCCCCACCGUAGUCUGCCUAAUUGACCUACAUCCUUUCAGCAGGCUCUGCUCUUUUUCCUUCUCUGGAAAGAAGAAAUGAUGAAGAAAAUGUUCUUGGAAUCUGUUUCUGGCCAAGUCUUCAGAGCUUUGCUUAAAAUUGUUAGUGCAAUGCUUGACAUUUUUCCUUUCCUUUAUAAACAUUAUAGGCAAAUCAUUCGGAAUCCUAAUGGAAAGUAAUUUCCCAUUAAUGCAGGCUGUAAAAUGCUAUUUUCUUUUGAAACCGUGCCUGGGAAACAAACAGUGCGGGGCCCUUUUACACUCGAAAAUUCCACCUACAAAUCAGCAGAGCUCAAUGAUCGAUGUGUGACAAGGAGACCCCACAGCUACCUUCGGGGAACCUUCAAGGAAGUGGCUGGCAUAGGCACAUGGCCACAGUGUCACUAGGGAGACCCCACCGCCUGGGAGAAUUGAGUUUCUGGGUUCAGCCUUCUUAUAAAAGCCAGCAGGGUAUUACUUUUCUUACAAUUUAAAUCUGCCUAGGGACAGAGCUACUGGCCAAGGAGAAGGGACAGAAGCUUGGACGUGUACAGCCUAGGUAUGGAAGCCAAGGGCUCCUUUGUCCUGUUCUGGUUCCCUGCCACCAAAUCAGAUGCACACAGCAGAUGUCCUUAGCCACCACACACUGGCCACACACACCCAUGAUAAUGCAUCCUUAAGACAAACAUCCCAAAUGUUCUUAAACAUGGUUACAUUUGCUAGGAUUUCUCCUCUCUCUCUCUCUCUCUCUCUCUCUCUCUCUCUCUCUGGGGGUGGGCAGAAAAGAGAUCUAUGAGUGUAUAUGUGUGUAUAUAUGUGUGCAUGCAAGCACGCCUGCAUGUGGUCAGAGAUCAAUGUCAGGUGUCUUCCUUCUAUCAUUCUCCACCUUAAUUCUGGAGCAGAGUCUCUUCCUGAACCUGGAGUUCAUUGAUUCUGCAGGACUAGCUGGCCAUUCCUCCUGCCUCUGCCUUCCUAAGCCUGAGCUUGUGGGUGCACACCUCACUGAGAGCUCACAUACUCGUUUGUAAAACAGUGGUAUGGCAGCAUCAUGGCUGCAUGAACCCGGCAGACUGCCCAACCUCAUGCCGUCUGUGGUGUGGCUGCCAGCAUCGUCACACUGUGCUGUGGUCUCACUCUCACUUUCACUCUCUGCAACAUUAGUGUGCGGAGGUCCACGCACAGAGCAACAACCAAUGAUGCUGGCGUACACACGCACUCCAGAUGCAAAGGGCCCCACGCUGUUCUCUGACAAUUAAUCCAAAUACUUUAUUCCUCACGGAACUCAAUGCUCUCCAGAUUGCCAGUGAAAGACUGAAGCAAAGGAAAGCCGGGUCUGGUCUGGCAGCCGGCAGGAGCCGGUGUUUUGGGUGAACUUUAUCCUAGGUCCUGGAAUCCUGACUCUAAGAACCAACCCUGUGCUCGGAUGCUGGCAGGGAGGAAGGCAUGUGGACGGCUGGGGUCUGCUACUGGACUGAAGCCUGGGACUGUAUUCAUUUUCAAGAUUUUUAGUUCAUUUGUUUAUAUCCACCAUUUUUCUAAACAGAAAGGUUAAAAAGACUUCCAGAAAAAAACAGUAUCCAAAGUAAAGAUUCAUGUCAGGCCCGAAAUAGGCAAAUCAUAAGAUGUACAAAACUCUCCAUUGUAUCCAGACACCACAGCUCUGAGAGAGGAAGGCAGGGGGCGUGACACCAGGCGCAGACACACACUGGCACUGACCCAGCAGAGCAGGUUGCGGUUAUCCCCAGCAGUCAGCUCAAGGGCCAGUGAGCUUCCCGGAAGCCAGAGGAAGUGGCAAAGUUUAACAGGGUAUGCGACUUCCCUAAAGUGCCAGACCAGUUCUCCAGAGCCACUGACUUCUUGCAUUUACGCAAAUAUGUGUUACUGAAAUACAAUUUUCAAGAUUAUCUUCACACCAGAUAAAUAUUGCCCAUAACCACUUAGUUUAGCUUACGUGCUGGUGUGUUUACAGCCGUGCAGUCACGGGAUCUACUUAAUGUUGUCUUUCUUUUCUAUUUUACUUCAUACCUGUUCAUGUUUCUGUAUAAUCCACACAUCAUGACAAUUCAGUAGAUGAAUGGUAUCUCACUUAGCCUACCAUUAGCCGACUAUGCACAAAGUGUUUACAAGUAAAUGACAACUUAGUAGAGAUUAGUCAACAGGGUUACAAGAAUAUCCUGUGCUUAAAUAUUUCUUAAGGAUGUGUUUCCAGAAGUGAAGCCGCUGAAGUGCACAGACACCUGACAGACAGAGCUACACUGACUUCCCAGUGAGGAGUGUCAGGGGUUGGCAACUGUAGGCUGUGAGCCAAAUGAUGUAAGAAUGGAACCCAGGUGAGCUCACUCACUUAUCUAUAGACACAUUCAGAUGACGUAACAAUAAAGUUCAGUAGCUGUUACAGAGACCACAUGGCCCUACAGAGACCAUAAGUCAGGCAUAUUUACUGUCUGGCUCUCUACCAAAAUGUCUGCCUAUGCCUCAGUGAUUCUAAUGUAUACUCCCCCAAUGCUUGUGAGAUUGUGCCCAAGUGCCACAUAUGAACAGAAAUGGAGCCUGCAGCUCCCAACGGAAGGCAGUGAGUCACAACAGGGCAGACACGUUCUCCCAGUAACUUUGUAGAACAUACAUGUGGCAUCUGUGCACUCUCCACCAACCCAUCUCUUCCUCUUCAAUAGUGAAAGAACUGCAGGUAGAUCUGGGUCUCCAGUUCACCUCUUCCUACCUUUGUAGCUGGCUGGGUCAUGUGACUAAGCCCUGGCCAGUGGGGUGAGAGAGGUGAGGUGAAUCACUUAUGUUCAAUUCUUUAAGGGGAAACUAUGUCUAGACUUCCAUCUUUUGCCUCUUGAGUCUCUUGGGAACAGCGGCUACUAUUAUCCCAGUGUAAAAACUGUUGCCAGAAGCCAGGCAUUGUCACAAUAAAACCUGCAACCAGAGACAACAACUCAGAUGGUGGCAAUGGAGAGGAUGUGUGUGUAACAGGUGUGACAGCCCUAAUGCCUGUGAGGUCACAGCGAAGCACUAUGGUCCAAGUUUUACACGUGACAACCUUGAAAGCAGACCACACAUCAGGAACUCUCAAACAGAAGGAGGCUAUCACUAGGAUGCACGUGCACAUGAGUGACGGCCAGCAGAGGCCAGGGAGGGCAGGAGAUCACUGAGUCUGUGAGUGAAGACCUCAGGAGAAAGAACAGAGGGUGAGAGGUGGUAUUAGGGAAGCUAGCCACUCCAGGAGCCACCAAGAACAGAAGGUAAGCGAGCUGCUGUUUCAGAUACUUCUCAGAGACUCACUCAACCAAAGGAAUCCAGGCACGUGUCCGUGACCUGUGCUUUGUUCUUCACUUGGAUCUGUUGCUUCGAGUGUCCUCAAGACAACCUCUAAAAGCUGAGAAGGGGAAGCAUGGAUCUGACAAGAAGGAAAGACAUCAAGCUCUCUGAAGUGCUGUGUCUAAGAGGGGACCAUAGCUCUGGGCAUUCCUAACUGCCGAGAGCACGCAGGGCAGACGUUCCCCAUGGUUUCGAUGGAAUCACCCUGUGGCAGAUCCACAAGCCUCACCUGGAAACAUCUGAGCUUAGUGAAGCUUGUCGAGCCACACAGCACAAGUCUAAGAUGACAACUUGCAAGGCCAGCUUCAGAUAUGAACUUUCUGAGGGAGUACUGGAAGCCAGCAGGAUGAAGGACAAGAGAGGAAUCUAGCAUACACACACAGACACACACACUCUAAUCAAGUCAAGUUCUUCAUUUCCAGGGCAAGGGGUAUACACAUUCUGUCUCUGUCUCUGUCUCUCUGUCUCUCUGUCUCUGUUUCUCUCUCACUGUCAGGGCAAGAGGUCCCUGCAAUAUCUGUUAAGCAAGAUUCCAUCAGUAUCAGAGAGUUGCUCCUGCUGUGUGUUUCUAUUUGCUGUGGUUUGAAUGUUGCUAUGAAUAUUGAUCUGUGUGAGUGCCCAAAAUCCAUGUACUACAAUGUCAUUCCCGUGAGUCUAGUAGCCUUCCCCACAUGAUGAUUUCAUAAAGGUGGGUCUCAUUCAUGAAGUUAGUGUCCUUAUAAAUAAAUAAAAUAAAUAAUAAAUAAAAGGCCCAAUAGAGCUUAUUUGUCACUUCCACCACGCAAAAAAUAUCUGCAAGGUGCCAUCUAUGAGGCAAGUCACAUAUCAGCCACUAAAUCAGGUGAUGAUGCAAAGAGUCAAGUCUAUCCAUGAAGCCACAGAAUGCACAGCUACUGUGACACAAAAGUGUUAAGACAGACAGCAGUUUUGGCUCCCAGUCUCAGAGGUCUCAGUGCACAUCACUGGCCCAUUUGACUGAGCUAGUGUUACUCUGACAGCAAAGUCUUGACACAACUGGUCUGUGAACACUCUUGACGACUCUUCCUGAGGUGAACGCCAUUUAAAUCAUUGAAAUUUGCAUGAAGCCUUGCAUCACAGUGUAAACUGAAAGCCAGCACAGCAGGCUGCAAGCCACAGCUCAGGCUGAAACUCUACAAUAAGGACGAUGGGAAAGAGACUAUGUCAAGCUAUGCACUUUGCUGAGGAAGACUUUUAACUGCAGGCCCAGAGUCUAUGUUAAAAGUUGGACAUUAAAAAUCUGUCAGAGCUGGGAAGAUGGCUCAGUGUACAAAGUGCCUGCCUUCUGCACACGCAUAAGGUCCUGAGUUCAGAUCUCCAGUAGGGAUUGGGGGCACAAAAAGCCACUGGGUGGCAGUGCCUGCCUGUAACUCCAGCACAGAGAGGCAGAGACAGGACUGGCUCCUAGCACCCAGGAGAUCUGAUGCCCUCUUCUGGCUUUUGAGAGCACCUGCACACAGGUGUACACCCCUCCACACAGAUACACACCCAUACUAUAUACACAAUCUUUAAAAAUAUAGUUAAGGGGCCAAGGACAUAGUUCAGCUGAUAGAACUUCCCUAACAUGCAGAAAGCCUUGGGUUCAUUCCGUAGUGCUGCAUAAACCUGGCAUGGUGGCACAUGUCUGCACUCCUGGCCAGAGUCAAAGGGAGAUCUCAAGUCCUCUGUCACUAGCUUUGACAGUGAAGCAAGGGGCCACAAGCCAAGCAAUGCAUGUGGCCUCCAGAGAGGGAAACAGGCAAGACAUGGGUCCUCUCCUCGAGCUUCCAGAAAGAACCCCAAUCUCUGGAUAGGUCCCCAGAACUAUAAGGCAAAGAGACUGUACCCCAUAUGUAGCUUUAUGUCACAAAAUACAUAGUAGUUUCUUAGGAAGUAUAGAAAACUAAUGCAAUUAAACAAAAAAUUAGCAUGCAUUUAGCAUAAAUGAAACCUAAAUGAAUGGGUACAGAGAGAAGGCCCCAAGGUGAGAUCUCCUCAGUGAGCAGCUAUGGAAAGGAAGACACAACAGAGACACAGAGAAAGAGCCCAAAGCCACACAGAUCGUCACAGGCCUGUGGUCCGAGUCCUCGGGAGGAGGGGGCAGGAAGAUCAGGAGUUUAAGAUCAUCCUCAUUGCAGAAUAAUUCUGCAGUCAAGCUGGUAUAAGUGAGAUGCUGCCUCAAACCACCAGUAAUAAUAAUCAUAACUCUAACAAUAGAAGUUUAAAAGGGGACAUCUGAGGGAAGAUAAGAGAGGUGCUUAAGGUAAUAAAGAUUUCCAUAUUUAUCAACGAUGUGCGGAACUAGGUUUAAGUUUCUAGGCUCAGUGAGAAUGGAAGGAGGAGGAAGGAAUGGGACCCACUUUCCCAGCGUUCUGACAUCCGACAGCUGCCAUUCUCAGUUAACUCACCAACUAACAGGAAAAGGCAAGAGCCAGCCAGGAAACAGGGGCAGAGGGCUUGGUCUAACCUGGCCUGCCACGCAGAACAACCAGAAAGAGUGAAACACAGAUUGUUUCCAAGGGCACACAGAACAUUUGCCAAGAUGGGUCAUGCUCUGGGCCACAAGACAAGUUUCAAAAAAUAUGCUACAGAGUAAAAUUCAUUCAAAUAGACUAUUUGAACAAAAUAAAGUGACUGGCAGAAGAAAUGGGUUAGAGAGAAUGAAAUUAUUUCUUGUGCAAGGGAGGGUCAUGCUCAUGCGGGUGUGUGCAUGUGUGUAGGAUUGUGUGCACCUAUAUGGACUGGCUCGUUAGUGACAGAGGUCAGUCUCAGGUGUCAUUCCUCUAGAGCCAUCCACCUUUUUUAUUUUGGACAGGGUCUCAUACUGGCCAGGAGCUCCAGGGAUCUGCCUGUCUCUGCCACAACAGUACUGGGACUGUAAACCUCCUUAAAACACUCACGAUAAUAAACUUAUCUUCUCUUAAGUUGCGUCUGCUGGGUACUCUUGUGAUUGCAAAAGAACACUGCUGAGCACAAUGAAAGAUGUCAGAAAAUGAAAACUAGACCGUUUAUGGUGCAGACCAGAGCAUUCUGUAGGAUUGGGCCCGCAAUUCCCCUACAGCUAUCUGUAGAUUCUACCCAUACAAAAUUAAAAUCAGAAUGAGCUCUUUCUGUAGAGAUAAGAAAAAUAAUGCUAAAAUUCACCUGGAAAGGCAAACAAACAAACCUAGAACGUCAACAGCAAACAGAAACAAAACCCCAAGAGAUAAAAGACAUGGUCUGGUUCCAAGGCCAACUGCAAACCUUGGCAAAGAAGCUAGAGAGUUCAGAGAUGUGGCCAUGGGGUGUAGGUGUAGGUGUGUGUGUGUGUGUGUGUGUGUGUGUGUGUGUCUGUCUGUCUGUCUGUCUGUCUGUAUUUGUGUGUGUAUUCAUGUGUGUCUGUGUAUGAUAUAAAUGCAUGUGUACAUACAUGUUCUCGUGGGUGUGAAAACACCUGAGGGGUGCAUGUGCACACCCACAUGUAUGCCAGUAGAGUACCCUGUGUCUUCCCUGAUCACUCUCUACCUUAUAUAUGGAGGCAGAGUCUCUCAUGUGAACCCAGAUCUCACUGAUUCAGUUAGUCCAGCUAGUGAGCUAGCUCUGAAGAGCCCGUUUCCAUCUCCCACGGCCAGGGAUUGUAGGUGGGCCCACCAUGCCCUCCUGGCACAUGCAUGAAUGACAUGGACUCGGGAGAUCCAGACUCCAGUCCUCAUGCCUACCAGACAAGUGAGCCAGCUCCCCAGCUCCCGGGACACCAUGUGUCUACUCCUAACACUACAGAUCGUUAUUACAGAUUAUAAAUAAAGUACAUGUCUACACCAAGACUGCAGAACUGUUUGUUCUGUUUUACUUUAUUUAUAAUGACAUGCAGGAGCUAGAGAGAUGGUUCACUGGUUAAGAGCAUUGGGUACUCUUGCAGAAGACCCAGGUUCAGUUCCUAGCACCUAUAUAACAGGAUACAGCUGUUAACUCCAGUCUCAGGGCAUCUGGUGCCCUCUUCUGGAACUUGCAGGCACUACAUGCACAUGGUGUGCAUUCGUACAUGCAGGUAAAACACUCAUACACAUAAAAUAAAAACAGGGACUAGAGAGACGACUAACCCUAACCCUAACCCUAAUCUGAUGCCCUCUCCUGGUGUGUCUAAGGACAGCAACAGUGUACUUAUAUACAUAAAAUAAAUACAUAAAUAUUUUUUUAAAAACUAACAAUUUUUAAAAAGUAAGAUAUGCAGGAAAAGGCCACCAGUCAGAUCUUAAAAACAAAAACAAAAAACCCACAGGGUGACAAGGAGAAUCUUGUGACUGUUAAUCCAUCCCAACCUAUGUAUGGCCCAGACUGGCCCUGGGGACAUGAGAGUUUUAAAGAAGACUAUGGAAACAGCACAAAAGAAGUGUGUGUGUGUGUGUGUGUGUGUGUGUGUGUGUGUGUGUGUAAGAGAGAGAGAAAGGAGAGAGACAGAGACAGAGACAGAGUCAGAGACAGAGACAGAGACAGAGUCAGAGACAGAGACAGAGACAGAGACAGAGACAGAGACAGAGACAGAGGGACAGAUAUCCACUUCCCUGAUACCUAGCUUCUAACUGCAACAGUUCAGCUGUAACUUCAGUGGGAAACAGGCAACUGUGUGCUAAGCAGGAAAAGCAAGGUGGGGGUAUUUUAAGACUCCUGAGUCCUCAAACAUGAAGGGAGUCAUGUUUAAAACAGUUAUUUUCCAUGGUGAUUAUAAGUAAGCUGGGUGGGCAGCGUGCAUGGGAAAGUGAAGGAGCUAAAGCCCCAGGCGGCAUCAGGAGAACAUGAGUGACUCCAUGCAACACAAGAGACAAGAGUCAUCCACACUUCUUACUCUCAAUUAUGCAAAUAGAUGUCACCCGAGUGGAAAACACAACAGGGAGUGGUUUCUUUAGGAGCAAGGACUGAGUCUGGGGGUGAGAAAGACCUGCUGGUUCUCACUGCUGUAACUCUCAAGUUCCAUUUCCUAUUUAAGACAGAUGCAGAUCACACUGGUAGUUUAGAGUUUUCAUUGAAAGAAAAAAAAUCCUGUGAUAAUGCUGGGGACCACGCAGAGCUCGGCUUCUCUGGCAAUGAGUGUAAUGAAAACCCCUGAGCGUCAGGAGCAAGGUGGGUGAACACCAACCCAAGUCUCACAUCUGCACAAACAGAAACACUGUGCGAUUGUGGGCUUCAGGAAUUGUCUUCAGCAUCCAAGGCAGAGAGUGCUCAACACUCCACCCCAAACACACAGAAGUCUGUGAAGAUCUCAUUCAGAGAAUACAAAAAUAAGCCACAGAGAGAAUGCAUGGAAGUAUAUCUCAAAGGACUUCUGUUUAGCCUGUGUAAAAAACUGGCAAAGUUCAGCAGUAGAUAUAGAAAUAAUCCAAUUAUAAAAUGGGUGGAGACCUGACAAGAUGUUUCACCCAGAAACAGGCACAGCAGACUCACAGGCAUGUGAUUCUCCACAGCAUUCAUCAAUGUGACUAAAACAAAGAAGCAAAAGCAGCCACCAUUUGAGUGUCACUUGGCAGUAUCCACCAUCAUUUAAAUGCCAACAGCACAGCCCCAGCCCCAGCCCCAGCCCCAGCCCCAGCCCCAGCCCAAGCCCCAGCCCCUGGCUUUGGUGCUCAGAAAUUUCGUCCCUAGAAAGUCUUGAUUAGUUGCAGAUAGAGGGAGAUAAGGGCAGACACUGUUGCAGUUAACAGGUCCCAAGCAAAACCAUGAAGUUGCUAAACACAGUGGGUCGGGCCUAUGUACCACACGGACAUAACCACAAGAAAGAGCAAUGCAUUUUGGGAAGAAAACUGCACAACAAAACGUUACUUUUGUUUAAUAUUAUGUUAAAUGUGAAAUACAUGUGCCAGCCACAGAUAGGACAGUAUUCACACACAGUCAUUAGGAGAAGCUAUGCCGAGGGAGGAGACCAGACGCAGUUGGAAAUCAUAAAGAGGACAUGGGAAAAAUCUUUUCUAGGUUAGCUUUACUCGAGGUUGUAUUUAAAAUCUAAGAGUACAGUUCUGGAGUUGGUGUCAGGCACACCUCAGGGGCUCAGAGAGCACUAACUAAAACUGCCUAACAAUUGAGAAGGUAUUCUGAAAGGUGUUAAACCUUUAAAUAUAAAAGAUAACAUAGCA